AUUGAACGCUGGCGGUAUGCUUAACACAUGCAAGUCGAACGGAAACGAUGGUAGCUUGCUACCAGGCGUCGAGUGGCGGACGGGUGAGUAAUGCAUAGGAAUCUGCCCUUUAGUGGGGGACAACCUGGUGAAAACCAGGCUAAUACCGCAUAAGUCCUACGGGAGAAAGCAGGGGAUCUUCGGACCUUGCGNUAAAGGAUGAGCCUAUGUCGGAUUAGCUAGUUGGUGAGGUAAAGGCUCACCAAGGCGACGAUCCGUAGCUGGUCUGAGAGGACGAUCAGCCACACUGGGACUGAGACACGGCCCAGACUCCUACGGGAGGCAGCAGUGGGGAAUAUUGGACAAUGGGGGCAACCCUGAUCCAGCAAUACCGCGUGUGUGAAGAAGGCCUUAGGGUUGUAAAGCACUUUCAGUAGGGAGGAAACGCCUAAGUUUAAUAAACUUAGGAAUUGACGUUACCUACAGAAGAAGCACCGCUAACU
This 482-nucleotide ribosomal RNA is filed under the name uncultured bacterium. RNAcentral's name for it is "bacterial SSU rRNA". It matches the Rfam family "Bacterial small subunit ribosomal RNA", at positions 30 to 502 of the family's 1533-position model. The record is from RNAcentral.